RNAcentral lists this long non-coding RNA (477 nucleotides) under Equus caballus (horse). RNAcentral describes it as "lncRNA (ENSECAG00000028570.2)". Lineage: Eukaryota; Metazoa; Chordata; Mammalia; Perissodactyla; Equidae. The record is from RNAcentral.
GGGAGAUGGCGAGCAUAGAUGCUGCUCAGGGCAUGCCCGUCGAAUGAAUUAAAAAUGGCCCCUACACGUGAGACCCUCCCUCCAUCCAGAGACACGGACAUGGAAGUCAGUCGCCCAGUAUCUUAGGAUCCAGGCUGUGAGCAAGGUUGGGACAAGAUGCUGUGUGAGCCAAAGGACAGAGCACCCAGAUCUGCUUGGAGAGGCCCCGUCCCAGCUGUGCCCUCCUUCCUCGGGGGUUCUGACAUGCUUCUCGUUGCCAGGGCAUCCUUGCUGCUCUCCUGAAGACCCACCAGGAAGCAGGGUUCUCCUGCCAAAGAGCCACCCCCUCUGCCUGCCUUGCUGACAGCCGGCCUUCACCCAGGCAGAAGAUGAAUGGCAGGAAGCUUCUGGAUUACCUGGAUCCCAGCGUACCCACCCUGUCCCUGCAGUCAGUCUGCCCACACUGUGAGGGUGUCACAGGGGAAACAGAGUCAGGAG